AGAGUUUGAUUAUGGCUCAGAACGAACGCUGGCGGCAGGCUUAACACAUGCAAGUCGAACGCCCGUAGCAAUACGGGAGUGGCAGACGGGUGAGUAACACGUGGGAACGUGCCCAAAGGUACGGAACAACUCCGGGAAACUGGAGCUAAUACCGUAUGUGCCCGAAAGGGGAAAGAUUUAUCGCCUUUGGAUCGGCCCGCGUCUGAUUAGCUAGUUGGUGAGGUAACGGCUCACCAAGGCGACGAUCAGUAGCUGGUCUGAGAGGAUGAUCAGCCACACUGGGACUGAGACACGGCCCAGACUCCUACGGGAGGCAGCAGUGGGGAAUAUUGGACAAUGGGCGAAAGCCUGAAUCCAGCCAUGCCGCGUGAGUGAUGAAGGCCUUAGGGUUGUAAAGCUCUUUCGGCGGGGACGAUAAUGACGGUACCCGCAGAAGAAGCCCCGGCUAACUUCGUGCCAGCCGCGGC
Molecule: ribosomal RNA, 467 nt
Filed under: uncultured bacterium
Lineage: Bacteria
Description: bacterial SSU rRNA
Rfam family: Bacterial small subunit ribosomal RNA
Source: RNAcentral